Mastomys coucha (southern multimammate mouse) is the source of this 132-nucleotide small nucleolar RNA. RefSeq annotates it as small nucleolar RNA SNORA17. The transcript has a single exon. Lineage: Eukaryota; Metazoa; Chordata; Mammalia; Rodentia; Muridae. The record is from RefSeq and is a predicted model, not a curated record.
CCUGUCCCUUGAGGCAUUGCAGGUGUGGCAGCUGUGUCACACGUGUGUCGGUAGGUGGCAGAGAGGAGAGAGGCUUUGUCUAGGCUCAGGGUUUUGACCUGUGAACAUCUGAGUGAUAAGUAGCCUAACACU